UAGAGUUUGAUCCUGGCUCAGAUUGAACGCUGGCGGCAUGCCUUACACAUGCAAGUCGAACGGCAGCAUGAUCUAGCUUGCUAGAUUGAUGGCGAGUGGCGAACGGGUGAGUAAUACAUCGGAACGUGCCCUGUAGUGGGGGAUAACUAGUCGAAAGAUUAGCUAAUACCGCAUACGACCUGAGAGUGAAAGUGGGGGACCGCAAGGCCUCAUGCUAUAGGAGCGGCCGAUGUCUGAUUAGCUAGUUGGUGGGGUAAAGGCCCACCAAGGCGACGAUCAGUAGCUGGUCUGAGAGGACGAUCAGCCACACUGGGACUGAGACACGGCCCAGACUCCUACGGGAGGCAGCAGUGGGGAAUUUUGGACAAUGGGCGAAAGCCUGAUCCAGCAAUGCCGCGUGUGUGAAGAAGGCCUUCGGGUUGUAAAGCACUUUUGUCCGGAAAGAAAUGGCUCUGGUUAAUACCUGGGGUCGAUGACGGUACCGGAAGAAUAAGGACCGGCUAACUACGUGCCAGCAGCCGCGGUAAUA
Molecule: ribosomal RNA, 529 nt
Filed under: uncultured bacterium
Lineage: Bacteria
Description: bacterial SSU rRNA
Rfam family: Bacterial small subunit ribosomal RNA
Source: RNAcentral